RNAcentral lists this ribosomal RNA (501 nucleotides) under uncultured Archaeospora. Its description in RNAcentral is "SSU rRNA". It matches the Rfam family "Eukaryotic small subunit ribosomal RNA", at positions 569 to 1074 of the family's 1831-position model. Lineage: Eukaryota; Fungi; Glomeromycota; Glomeromycetes; Archaeosporales; Archaeosporaceae. The record is from RNAcentral.
AGCAGCCGCGGUAAUUCCAGCUCCAAUAGCGUAUAUUAAAGUUGUUGCAGUUAAAAAGCUCGUAGUUGAAUUUUGGAUUCUACCAAUCGGUCCAUCUUUUGAUGAGUACUGGUUGUGUGGGGUCUAUCCGCCUGGUGAUACGUAAUGUCCUUUAUUGGAUGUUGCGGGUAGUCAGGACCUUUACCUUGAAAAAUUAGAGUGUUUAAAGCAGGCUUAUGCCGGAAUACAUUAGCAUGGAAUAAUAGAAUAGGACGAAGUUGUUUUAUUUUGUUGGUUUCUAGGACAACCGUAAUGAUUAAUAGGGAUAGUUGGGGGCAUUAGUAUUCAAUUGUCAGAGGUGAAAUUCUUGGAUUUAUUGAAGACUAACUACUGCGAAAGCAUUUGCCAAGGAUGUUUUCAUUAAUCAAGAACGAAAGUUAGGGGAUCGAAGACGAUCAGAUACCGUCGUAGUCUUAACCAUAAACUAUGCCGACUAGGGAUCGGGCGAUGUUGUUUCAAUGA